This 465-nucleotide ribosomal RNA is filed under the name uncultured bacterium. RNAcentral's name for it is "partial 16S ribosomal RNA". It matches the Rfam family "Bacterial small subunit ribosomal RNA", at positions 28 to 507 of the family's 1533-position model. The record is from RNAcentral.
GACGAACGCUGGCGGCGUGCUUAACACAUGCAAGUCGUACGGUAAGGCCCUUUCGGGGGUCCACGAGUGGCGCACGGGUGAGUAACACGUGAGUAACCUGCCCACAACUUUGGGAUAACGCUAGGAAACUGGUGCUAAUACUGGAUAUGUGCUCCUGCUGCAUGGUGGGGGUUGGAAAGCUCCGGCGGUUGUGGAUGGACUCGCGGCCUAUCAGCUUGUUGGGGGGGUAGUGGCCUACCAAGGCGGCGACGGGUAGCCGGCCUGAGAGGGUGACCGGCCACAUUGGGACUGAGAUACGGCCCAGACGCCUACGGGAGGCAGCAGUGGGGAAUAUUGCACAAUGGGCGCAAGCCUGAUGCAGCAACGCCGCGUGCGGGAUGACGGCCUUCGGGUUGUAAACCGCUUUCAGCAGGGACGAAGCUUUUUGUGACGGUACCUGCAGAAGAAGCACCGGCUAACUACGUG